GACGAACGCUGGCGGCGUGCCUAAUACAUGCAAGUCGAGCGGACCAAAGGGAGCUUGCUCCUGGAGGUCAGCGGCGAACGGGUGAGUAACACGUGGGCAACCUGCCUGUAAGACUGGGAUAACAUCGAGAAAUCGGUGCUAAUACCGGAUAAUAAAAAGAACUGCAUGGUUCUUUUUGAAAGAUGGUUUCGGCUAUCACUUACAGAUGGGCCGCGGCGCAUUAGCUAGUUGGUGAGGUAACGGCUCACCAAGGCAACGAUGCGUAGCCGACCUGAGAGGGUGAUCGGCCACACUGGGACUGAGACACGGCCCAGACUCCUACGGGAGGCAGCAGUAGGGAAUCUUCCGCAAUGGACGAAAGUCUGACGGAGCAACGCCGCGUGAGUGAUGAAGGUUUUCGGAUCGUAAAACUCUGUUGUUAGGGAAGAACAAGUGCCGUUCGAAAGGGCGGCACCUUGACGGUACCUAACGAGAAAGCCACGGCUAACUACGUGCCAGCAGCCGCGGUAA
RNAcentral lists this ribosomal RNA (510 nucleotides) under uncultured bacterium. Its description in RNAcentral is "bacterial SSU rRNA". It matches the Rfam family "Bacterial small subunit ribosomal RNA", at positions 28 to 523 of the family's 1533-position model. The record is from RNAcentral.